This 492-nucleotide ribosomal RNA is filed under the name uncultured bacterium. RNAcentral describes it as "partial 16S ribosomal RNA". It matches the Rfam family "Bacterial small subunit ribosomal RNA", at positions 29 to 507 of the family's 1533-position model. The record is from RNAcentral.
AGUGAACGCUGGCGGUAGGCCUAACACAUGCAAGUCGAACGGCAGCACAGUAAGAGCUUGCUCUUACGGGUGGCGAGUGGCGGACGGGUGAGGAAUACAUCGGAAUCUACUUUUUCGUGGGGGAUAACGUAGGGAAACUUACGCUAAUACCGCAUACGACCUACGGGUGAAAGCAGGGGAUCUUCGGACCUUGCGCGAUUGAAUGAGCCGAUGUCGGAUUAGCUAGUUGGCGGGGUAAAGGCCCACCAAGGCGACGAUCCGUAGCUGGCCUGAGAGGAUGAUCAGCCACACUGGAACUGAGACACGGUCCAGACCCCUACGGGAGGCAGCAGUGGGGAAUAUUGGACAAUGGGCGCAAGCCUGAUCCAGCCAUACCGCGUGGGUGAAGAAGGCCUUCGGGUUGUAAAGCCCUUUUGUCGGGAAAGAAAAGCAGCAGGUUAAUACCCCGCUGUUCUGACGGUACCCAAAGAAUAAGCACCGGCUAACUUCGUG